Molecule: ribosomal RNA, 249 nt
Filed under: Triticum aestivum (bread wheat)
Lineage: Eukaryota; Viridiplantae; Streptophyta; Magnoliopsida; Poales; Poaceae
Description: partial small subunit ribosomal RNA
Source: RNAcentral
AUGGUUGGGAAAGAAAGAGGGAGGAGAGAAAGAAAGAACGGAGACCAGAGGGGCUUAGGCGCCGAUGUGGUGAAGGGGUAUGGCGCCCCAGGCCGGGGCGUCGUGGUUCAGCCCAUGGCGCCCUGGGCCGAGGCAUCAUGGGCCCAAGGCCAUGCCGACAUGGCAGUCAGCGCCGACGCGCAUGGCGCCUUUGAUCGGGGCGUUAUGUUAUCUCGCAUGGCGCCCCGGGGGCGGGCGUCAUACGGGUAG